This 74-nucleotide transfer RNA is filed under the name Bacteroidales bacterium. Its description in RNAcentral is "tRNA-Arg". It matches the Rfam family "tRNA". From Rfam's summary of the family: Transfer RNA (tRNA) molecules are approximately 80 nucleotides in length. Their secondary structure includes four short double-helical elements and three loops (D, anti-codon, and T loops). The record is from RNAcentral. Lineage: Bacteria; Pseudomonadati; Bacteroidota; Bacteroidia; Bacteroidales.
GGUCCAGUAGCUCAGCUGGAUAGAGCAACGGCCUUCUAAGCCGUAGGCCACAGGUUCGAAUCCUGUCUGGAUCA